RNAcentral lists this long non-coding RNA (1782 nucleotides) under Daphnia magna. RNAcentral's name for it is "uncharacterized LOC116935778". Lineage: Eukaryota; Metazoa; Arthropoda; Branchiopoda; Diplostraca; Daphniidae. The record is from RNAcentral.
GGAACGGAAGGAAACCAUUAACGCCUCAAAGACCCCAAGUACACCUGUUACCUCUACCCGGUUCCUAAUCGAUGAUUGCCUGGAAUAAUGAAAAAAACAAUGUUCUGAAAAGUAAAUUUUACAGUUACCAACCGCAAUAGUUCCGCACUGUAUCAAAAUCUCGGGUCAGUGACUCAGUGUCGCCAACGUGACACAAAGUCAUUAAACUUUUUACAUCAAACUUGUCGAGAAGGAUGCCUCAGGCUGGACACUAUUACUCCAAUUGAAAAUGAAUGGACAUAGGUAAAAAGUUUAAAAGAGACUUUCAUUGGAUCACCUUGCAACCUCUUACUUUCAUUUGAAACACUCAUGCAGCCACCAUAUAGACAUCUUAAAAACAUAUUUUUGGAUAUGCAAACUAUGGCACUAAGUUAACGUCUCCAUACUUCGCAUGUUUGUCGCAUGUGAAAAAGAAUUCAAAUGGAAUGUGAUGCCUAGGUAGCAGAAUGAGCUCAGAAGAUUGCCCAACAUCUAUGGAAAAAUGACUUAGCUGAUGCUAUUAUUUUGUUCCAAGAAUGUUGAAUGUCUACUGUGAAGGUUUAUUAGAUAGUUGUACUGACACAACCUUUCUUUUCUAGAACCAGCUACAUUUAGUAGAUUAGCUUUAUUGGAGAACUGUUAAAUAUUUGAUAUUCAUAAUGUUCGCGAAUUCGAGUAAUUAUGAAUAUUGUGAUUUUUGCGUGACGUUUGAUUUUUUUUUAUGUGACGUUUGCUUUGAGGUAUUUCCUGCGUUAUGGCAUUCCAGUAAGAUCUUUACUCUUUCCGCAAUUUUUCCCAACAGACUUUCAUAAAGAUGAAGUAAGAACCUUAGGUCGCGAGCUGGAACUGCCCGCAGAAUUACUGGAAUGUCACACGUUUCCUAGUCCCGGUUUGUCAAUUCGAAUCAUUUACGCCGAAGAACUUUUCAUGGAAACUGAUUUCGGUGAGACGCAAGUGCUGAUUCGUUUGAUGGUCGAUUAUGCUAACAUGACAGCCAAGAACAUGCCUUGCACAAUGGGAUUGAAAUCGGGACGUUGGAAGAAGAUCGUUUUCUUCUGGAAGAACUAUCCAGUCGCAACCAGUAUGUUGCCACGCUACUGCCUAUUCGCAUUGUCGGUAUUCAACUAGCCCAGAUGCCAAUCGUCUUGAUCCGUCUUCCCCUGGAUCGCGAUUCGAGUCAACGCAUUCCAUCAUGCCAGUGAUCAGUUAUUUUUCGACCAUUCCUUUCUCAGGAUUUUAUGAUUGGACCUCCUGCAAUUCUUGAUACUCAUCUGCUCCAAGAGGGAAGUAAAAAGUGGUACAUUUUAAAAGCUGAUUUUGGUGUAAACAUGGAUACUGCUUAUUAAUUUGUAGACAAGGUGGUUGAAACCGUCUUAACUGUUCCAGGAAUUUCCAGGGUCUUGUCGGGGUCUGAAAAAAUUUCCAGGGUCUCGGCAAAACCCCCCGGGACAACGGAGUGGGAAUGGUUUGUUUUACGAACAUUGCUUAGGCAAAUCAUUUCCGCACUCUUUAUAGGACACGGAUACGGAGUUGUAUCAUUGACCAGACUUAGAUGAGAAAAUGAACAGUGGAUUCAGUAUAGACUUUUGAAAUUGAAAAAUCAAUCAGCUUUGUCGUCUCGUUAAAAUCUCUUAAACUCGAUUUGAAAGAGGAGUUAACGUGAUGAAUGGUUGGCUAUUCCUUAAAUGUACAUGCACAUUUGUUGAAAAUAAUGGGUGCAGUUGUUUUUCGUCGAACAAAUUAAACAUUUUCGAGCAUUGUUAA